RNAcentral lists this long non-coding RNA (245 nucleotides) under Lathyrus oleraceus (garden pea). RNAcentral's name for it is "Pisum sativum (pea) long non-coding RNA (PSAT_LNC005582)". The record is from RNAcentral. Lineage: Eukaryota; Viridiplantae; Streptophyta; Magnoliopsida; Fabales; Fabaceae.
UUGAACAAGUUUACAUGUAAUGUGUUACAUGUUUUGCAUUGUUGUUAGACUUUAUCCGCUGCGAAUUAUGCAAAUGUUUUAUUUUGAUUAAAUAAAUGAGCAUGACAGGAUAUUUUGGAAAACGGUGUGAAGUGUCAAGUGUGACACCCUUAAAUUGCAUAUCUACUCUGAUUUAUGUUUGGUUGUUUUAAUUAAAUAUUUGGGGUAAUUUAGAAGGGUGUUACACUCACAGUCACUGACCAAAC